UCUCUCUCCCAAUCUCUCUCUCUCUCUCUCUCUCUCACACACAAAAUUUUUUCUCCAUUCUCUCCCAACUUUUCCCAAAUCGAACACCUAAGCUCACAACUUUUCUCUAAAUUUUUCCAAAAUUCCUCACCCAAUCUCUCAUCCCAAUCAUGAACUCACAAGCCCAAAAACCAUAACUCAUUAAAAUUGAUGGCAAGGAAGUGCAUGGACCCUCCAUUGCCGACUAAAGGAGAAGGGAGGACCAUCGCUGGCGAGAGAAGAAAAGAAAGAAAGGAAAGGAGGAGAAAAGAAAGAAAAGGAAGGGAAAAAGCAAGAAGAGAAAAGGAAAUCAAGGAAAAAAAAUAUUAAAGCCAUUAUAGUUGAGUUGGCAUCACACCUGGACUCUCGAGAGAUCUCUUACUACCUUUUGUGUUGCCAUCAUAGAUAGGCCUUCAUCCACUGACCCUAGUUCCUCUGACACAGCUAUAAGAGUGUUGAUAUCCCAUACUACUACAGCUAUCACUUCAGUGACUCCAUUUUCAACUUUGCUCCAUUUGCUCUAGUUAACAGCUCCAGAGCUUCUCCAUUUGUUCAGAUACAAAACAUUUUUCUUUUUUAUAGACUAAUGAGGAAUCUUGCCUAAAGUGACUUGUAGCUUCCUUGAGCUCUAAAUGUUGGUAAGCCAAGGAAUGGUUCACUAGGAGAUAGCAACUUGCUCGGUAGAAGAGACUGAGCAGUCAGAGCAAUGAGAUUAUCUUCAUGCCCCUUUUCACUUUAGCUUUCUUUAAUGGACUUUUGAGACAUGAUGAGACUUGAUGAUUGGGGUUGAGCCUUUGCUUAUGAUUGUGAACCGAUGAAUAAGGCUGAGCCCUUUAUUGUGCCGUUGUCACCCACUUCACCAUGUAUAUGAACUACCUUCAACAGGUACCCAACAAACUGCAAAGCCCUCAGCAUGCUUUAUUUGUCUUGUCUGUGCAUGAUAGGAAUAGUAGAAUGACCUCCUUGAAAGUUUGUCUACCUAUUGUACUAUUGCUUUGACUUUAAUGACAUCUCAGACAUGGCAACCAUAAAGCCAGCCCUAUGUAAGCCACGUUAAUGGCCCUACAUUAUUCUACUUGAGCCUUUUAAUUAUGCCACCUUUAAAAUA
Hevea brasiliensis (rubber tree) is the source of this 1126-nucleotide long non-coding RNA. RefSeq lists it as uncharacterized. The transcript is spliced from 5 exons. NCBI's taxonomy places the organism in Eukaryota, Viridiplantae, Streptophyta, Magnoliopsida, Malpighiales, Euphorbiaceae. The record is from RefSeq and is a predicted model, not a curated record.